UUUCUUUCUCUCUCUCUUCCUCUCGACCGUGUUCAAGCACAAACACACAUUUCACUCACUCUCCUCUCAAGAAAACUCUCCCAUACCUCCUCCAUAUUUUCGAGAUUCAAGGACUUUGCAAGGAGGAUUCUUCACAAAAAUCAUCAUCUAGGUAAGUUGAUGCUUGAAUCCACACUCUAGACUCCUUGUUCUAUACAAAAAUCUCUUCUUAACUCAUAUGAAAUCAUGAUCUUGCAUCUUAGAACCACCUCAAAUUCGAGAUCUUCAUCAAGGUGUUGCUAGGGCCGAAAAUCACCUCACUUUCUUCCUUUUCUUCUUCAAAUCAAAACCACAACUCAAGGUGAGCUUCAUACCCCCUAUUUUUCGGUUUUUAUAAGUUUUGUGGGGGGAGAAUACAAGCAAAUGUGUAGAUCUAUGAGUAUAUGUAUGCUUUGUGUGAUUUCUAUGCUUAUAUAUAUGUUCUUAUGUGAUUGUGGUGUUGGUUCUAGUCAAAAAGAGCUUAAAAACCGAGAUCUACAAUGUGUUGAAUGAAAUAAGUAUAACUUAUGUUAUUUCACACAAAUCAAUUCUAGAAAAAUAACCAAGUUGGUUAAUAUGAACACCUAUGGGCUUAAAACACAUUUUUGGGCUCAAAAUGCUAAAAAUAUAAAACUAAUGGGCCCAAAACGACAAAAUACAAAUUCUGGAGUCAAAACAGUUUCAAAAAUGUAUUUUCUGAAAAUUUACUCUUUUGAAGGAUUAAAAUGUGAAUUUUUAAACAUAAUGGGCCAAAAAUGAACUUUUCGGCCCAAUAAAGCCCAAAUUGCGAGAUUUUUACUUUAGAGGGGCUGAAACUGCACUUUUCUGUAAAACAGGGGACUACUAGUGUACCAAGUCCAUUUCAAGGGUUAAAAAUACUUUUCAAAUUUAAAAGGGACCAAAGAUGCAAAAAUUUUCCAUUUUGGGUCAAAAUUGUAAAAAUCGCGAAAAUAGAGGUUUCAACCGAGAAAACAUUAUUUUGAGGGACUAAGACUGUUUUUCAAGUAAAUUUGAGCUGAAAAAUACCUUUUCAACAAGUUUUGAUACUAAAGUGUCAAGAAAAAAGGUUUAAGGACUAAAAUGGAAAUUCUUUUAUAUAAAGGGUUAAAAGUGUAAAUUUAUCCAAAAAGGGGCUUCAAAAAGAAAAAUUCUAAUGUUUAAACAAUAAAUCCUUUAUGACAAAAUACUAGUACCACGACUACCGACGAAAUAUAAUACACCUUCAACACCAAAAUCGUUACCAAACGAAUUGAUUCGGUCUCGAAUCAAUAACGAAUCAAAAAUCUAAACACGACGAUACUCCAAUACACACGCUGAAAUUACGGGAAGUCAAUACACACGUGGGAAUUCACCAGACGUCGAUACACCAUCUUUGGGCCCGAAAGUUUCAAAUCGUGCUUGUUGGGCCUAGCUAGACCAAUGACAUGAUCUUUAGGCCCGAAGGAAACGCGCUUACAUGAUAUUGGGUCUUAUACGACCUAAUACCGUGUAAAAGGACUUUCAAUAGCUCAUGUGCUGCUGGGCCCCAAGGGUCAUUUGGCACUGCUAGCAAAGUCGAGAAUUCACAAAUGCGAGUCAGGCCAAGGGCCUUUCGCAUUCACGAUAGCCUUUAACGACUCGUGGAAUUAACGGGGGCUUAGCACCCUCUUUUCUUCUUAGGUUGUGGGGCUAUGGGAAGUCAGGAUGGUUGGAUUAGGUGAGUAGUACAGACGACGCCUAUGGGUUCGUUUGUAUAGUCGUAAGCUAGCCAUUUUCAUUAAUGCGUGAUUACAACAACUCACCACCCUUAAUUAAUCCAAUGUCACCUGGAAUUAUCAAAUACACAUGUCACAAUGGUAUAACCAAAUAUAAAACGCGUAUGUUAAAGUAUUAGGAAAACAUCGGGUUUUCCUAGGGAUUUCAACUCUAACACCUACGUGAAGUAUACUAAGUAUAACAAUUUUUCACACUUAUAGAAAUAAACAAGCAUACUUACGGAUCUUCACACUUUUUUUUACUUACAACAAUCUUUUCAGAAAAUAUCGGAUUUUCUGGUGGUUUUUCAAAAUAAUACAAAACACUGUGUUUCAAACAUUACUUAUGAACUCACCAACAUUUUAUAUGUUGACGUUUUUCAAAAUACUUGUAUUCUCAGGUAAUAGGUAAAUCGAAGGGAAAAUGUACUAAGUGAUGUCUUGUUGUUUGCUUAACUAGUAUCGAACAAUUUACUUUUUGGGAAUGUAAUGUUUUGAAACAAUGUACUAACUGUAAAUACUACCAGUUGUAAUAUUUCAAUGCAUGGUGAUGAAUGAUGUUAUGUUUCAUGUAUAUUCACUGUGAUGGUAUUCAAUUGAGUCGCAACAGCCCUCGGAUGUUUCUGCCGUCUGGUUCGGGGGUGUGACAGGUUGGUAUCAGAGCUCUGUUUAUAGUGAACUAGCAUAUCUAGCCACACAUUGAUAUGCAACUAUAAACCAAAAGAGGGACUAACACAACUCUGAAUAAAACAAGUAAAACAUAACAAUAAAACACCCUUGCUUGCAUUAGAAAUAAGAACAUAACGCCGAACAAAACAAGAUAAUGCUAGUAUCCUGGUUAAUUUAGGACUGUUCUUAGCAGUAUCAACGAGUGGAUGUGGCCUGAUCAACUACAUUCCCUCCAAGGUAUAACUAACACAUGUUCUGAUGAGAUCGCAAUAGCUAGGGAACUUAAAAACAAACCCCUUUAUCACCAAAAGAGAAGAAUGUAUGUUUAGUCUAUAACAUAGUGUAGAUUCAUAGGAGUAACGAUAGUUUAUACCUUCCCCUGGUCUUCAUGGAGGGAGAGCAGCCGGGUAUCCAUUUUCAUCAAGUCCUAGUGGCUCACGGGAUGCUUGAAGAUGAACCAGAAAAGAAUCCAGAGGAAGCACACGACGUCGGACCUGAUGAAUACAUAGACAUCGACUACGAGUUCGGGGAGACCGACGAUGACAUCGAGGAAGGACAAGACCCGGACAAAGAUCACGCCACGUCGUUCGUGGACGAGGCGCAACCAGACCACCCCGCCCCACCAAUGAACCCCCCAAGGGAGAACCGCUCUCCCGAAGAUGAGAUCGCCGCCCUGCGGCAACAGCUGUAUGCCAUGGAGGCACGUGCAGUGCGAUCUGAGCACGAGAGGGAUGAGGUUAUUGGAGACAUGACGGAGAUGGCUCAGUUACUGGUUCAACACUUCAGCAUAUGACCCCUCCACUACGUAGGACGCACCACGGAGUGUUAGGGAUAGACUUAUCUUACUAGGUCAUUAGGAACUAUGCUAUGUACCCCGACUCUAUGUUUAAGUGACUACACUACUCAUAGAGCCGUUAUGCUGUCGAACUAGUGUCACUCAUGUAUGCUCUUACAAGCAAAAUUUUCAUGUAUCAAAUGCGGAUAAUAUUAGUAAACUUUUACGUGCUUUGUUAUGAUAUUACAAAUUGCUAUGUGUUGCGAAUCUAUGAUUGUAUGCUACAUGAUAGAAGUACUUAAGUUUGUGCCAUACACCUAGUCGCGGAAAGAUGCCUCGCCGACCUACUCGCGGAAACCCUGGACCAACCCCACCCGAAGUUGACUCAACCGCAUUCCAGGCAGCGGUCUCUGCUGCGGUCACUGCAGCGAUGGCACAAAUUCAUCAAGGGAACAAUGGAGGAGUCAACGGGCAAGGGGCCGGGAGUUCGAACAACGGAAUGAAUCAAGGACCCACCAAAACAUGUACCUACAAGGACUUCACAAACGCUAAACCACGAACCUUUAACGGCACUGGAGGGGUGAUCACUCUGAAACGAUGGAUCGAGAAGGUGGAAUCGGUAUUUGAGAUAUGCGACUGUCCGGAGGAAAUGAAGGUGAAGUUUGCAACAUGCACUUUCGUUGAUCAAGCACUCACUUGGUGGAACGGACACGUGGAAGCCAUGACACUCCCUGUAGCCAACUCCAUGCCGUGGUCGGAAAUGAAAAAAAUGUUGAUGGCUGAAUAUUGCCCACGAGGUGAGAUUCAGAAAAAGGAGCAAGAGCUGUGGAACCUCACUGUGCAGAAUGCGGAUAUCGAUGCCUACAUAUCGAGAUUUAGUGAACUAUCUCUGUUAUGCCCGGGUAUGAGCACCACGAAAGGAAAGAAGAUCGAGCGAUUCAUUUGGGGACUAACCUCUCCGAUCCAAGGAAAUGUGAUAGCUGCAAAUCCCGAAACUUUCAACAGUGCUAAAAGAUUGGCAAAGAAGCUGUAUGACCACAACAAUAAGAAGGGGGAGAAGCCAAUGGAGACUGAGGCCAAGAAGGAAAGUGAUGGCAAGAAAGGGAAAAACAACAAACGGAAGGGGCGUUAAGGCUCCGAGACUUCUAAGAAGCAGCAAACAGUGGCGGUUAAUGCUGCCACCGUGCAAGUCCCAGCUACACCACAUGCUCCAGCCUCAGCUGCUCCAAAUGCUCCUAGGCCUUAUUCCGGUAAUCUUUCCAAGUGCAACAAGUGCAGCUUCCAUCAUAAUGGAGAAUGCAAGGAGUUGCAGUGCACCAGUUGCAAUCGGAAGGGACACACGGUGACGUACGGCAGGACUUACCCUCCUCAAAAUCAACAACAGGGAAGCAACAACAACAACAACCGCAAAAACAAAAACAUCAAUGUUGGGGGCAACAAUGCCGGUCCUAGCCACACAUGCUAUGGGUGCGGAAGGACAGGGCAUUUUUGUCGUGAUUGCCCUAACAACAACAAUCUCGGAAAUGGAGGAACGAGAAGGGUGUUGGCCAUGGGUCAGGGGGAAGCAAUUCAGGAUCCCGCAGUUGUUACCGGUACGUUUCCCCUAAACCACACUUAUGCAUGCAUCCUAUUUGACACCGGAGCGGAGCGAAGCUUUGUGAGCAAUAAGUAUAAACACUAUCUAGAACAACGACCCCAGAAGCUCAAUGAAACCUUUACGGUGGAAAUGGCCAAUGGGAAAACAGAAUCCACGGGGGAAAUCUACAUCGGAUGUACCCUAACCCUGAACCAACACGUCUUUCGAAUAGACUUAAUGCCUGUGUCCAUUAGGAGUUUCAAUGUGAUUAUUGGCAUGGACUGGUUAAGCCUCUACCAUGCUGAAAUUAUGUGUCACGAGAAGGCCAUUCGUCUUCGCCUUCCCAAUCACGAAACCCUAGUUAUUUACGGAGACAAACCUAGCACGAACCUUCGCCUCAUCUCGUGCAUCCAGGCACAAAAGCAUCUACGAAAGAAAGAUUUGACAUUUCUGGCUCACAUAGUGGAUAAAACCAAGGAAGAGACUAACCUUCAAGAUAUUCCAGUAGCACGUGAAUUUCCAGACGUAUUUCCUGAAGAUCUUCCGAGAGUACCCCCAGAGAGGCAAGUUGAAUUCCGAAUUGACCUCGUUCUAGGAGCAACCCCUCUCGCUAAAUCGCCCUAUCGGUUAGCUCCUGCUGAAAUGCAGGAAUUGUCCAGUCAACUCAGCGAACUCCUGGACAAGGGAUUCAUCCGACCUAGUUACUCGCCAUGGGGAGCUCCGGUCCUGUUUUUCAAAAAGAAGGACGGAUCUUUUAGGAUGUGCAUCGAUUACAAAGAGUCAAAUAAACUCACUGUCCGGGAAAAGGAUAUUCCUAAAACCGCUUUCUGAACUUGUUACGGACAUUAUGAAUUUGUCGUGGUGCCCUUUGGUCUAACAAAUGCCCCUGCCGCAUUUAUGGAUCUGAUGAACCGAAUCUGUCGACCAUUCCUCGACAACUUUGUCAUCGUUUUCAUUGAUGACAUUCUCGUCUAUUCCCGAGGCAAGGAAGAGCAUGGCCAACAUCUCCGACAAAUCCUAGAAACUCUGCGAUCAGAAAAGCUAUAUGCAAAACUCUCCAAGUGUGAGUUCUGGCUUCGUAGUGUGAACUUCCUAGGUCAUGUUGUUAGUCAAGAAGGAAUUCAUGUGGAUCCUUCCAAAGUCAAAGUCGUCGAAGGAUGGGCCGUCCCGACAACACCCACGGAAAUUCAUCAAUUCUUAGGUCUAUCCGGCUACUAUAGGAGGUUCAUUCAAAACUUCUCUAAGAUCGCCAAGCCACUUACGUCACAUACGCAAAAGGGUGUACCAUUCAAAUGGACGGAUAAAUAGGAGGUUGCAUUCCGAACCCUGAAGCAAGCCCUCUGUAGUGCUCCGGUACUAUCUCUACCGGAGGGAACGGAAGAUUUCGUGGUCUACUGUGACGCGUCGAAUCAGGGCUUAGGUUGCGUUCUUAUGCAGCGUGGAAGAGUGAUAGCUUACGCAUCCCGUCAACUAAAGACACACGAAGUGAAUUAUACAGCCCACGAUCUGGAAUUGGGAGUCGUGGUCUUUGCUCUGAAGAUUUGGAGACAUUACCUAUACGGUACAAAGUGCACCAUCUUCACAGACCACAAAAGUCUCCAGCGUAUCUUGAAUAAAAAAGAGCUGAAUAUGAGGCAAUGAAGAUGGGUCGAAUUAUUAAACGAUUACGAGUGUGAAAUCAAGUACCACCCGGACAAGGCCAACGUGGUAGCUGACGCAUUGAGCCGGAAGGAGUACUCUAAUCGUCGUGCGAAAACACUCUCAGUAACCAUCCAAUCCCACCUAACCACUCAGAUUGGGGUAGCCCAGUCAAAGGCCAUGAAGUCGGAAAAUAAAGCAAGCGAAGCAUUACGCGGAAUGGAGAAGAAUCUAGAGGUAAAAGAGAACGGAGUAUACUAUUUCAUGAACCGUAUUUGGGUCCCUAAACUCGGAGGAUUUAGGGAGGUAGUCAUGAAGGAAGCUCACAAGACGCGAUACUCCAUCCAUCCCGGCUCGGACAAGAUGUAUUUGGAUAUUAAAAAACACUAUUGGUGGCCUAACAUGAUGGUGGAAAUUGCCACCUACAUUGGUAAGUGUCUUACUUGUGCCAAGGUAAAGGUGGAAUACCAGAAGCCCUCAGGAUUAUUACAGCAACCAGUGAUCCCUGAGUGGAAAUGGGAAGGGAUUUCUAUGGAUUUUGUGACCAAGCUACCCAAGACGCCGGAUGGACUAGACACCAUAUGGGUAAUAGUCGACCGACUAACGAAAUCUGCUCAUUUCCUGCCAAUAAAAGAAUCCUACAAGAUAGAGAGACUGACGCGUUUAUACAUACGAGAAAUCAUGAGACUUCAUGGAAUACCAAUGUCUAUUAUCUCAAAUAGAGACAGUAGAUUCACUUCACGUUUUUGGCAAUCACUCCAGAAAGCACUCGGAACCCACCUCGACAUGAGCACCGCUUAUCACCCACAAAUGGAGGGUCAAAGUGAAUGAACCAUUCAAAUGCUCGAAGACAAGCUUCGCACAUGUGUGAUAGACUUUGGGAAGUCUUGGGAUACCCACUUACCUUUAGUCGAAUUCUCGUAUAACAACAGUUACCAUUCGAGCAUCAAGGUCACUCCUUUCGAAGCACUAUACGAACGUAAGUGUAGAUCACCGUUAUGUUGGGCUGAGGUGGGCGACACCCAGCUAGCAAAAGCACUCACGUCGGACAAGGCACUGACGGGACCGGAGAUCAUUCGUGAAACCACGGAAAAGAUUGUUCAAAUCAGAGCUCGAUUACAAGCAUCGCGCGACCGACAAAAGAGCUACGCCGAUAAACGGCGAAAGCCCUUAGAAUUUCAGGUCAGGGAUCGAGUACUGUUAAAAGUCUCACCUUAGAAAGGAGUCAUUCGUUUCGGGAAACGGGGAAAACUAAACCCACGAUACAUUAAACCUUUCGAGGUCAUCGCCCGAAUAGGUCCAGUGGCGUAUAAACUGCAACUACCCGCGGAGCUAAGCAGUGUACACCCCGUGUUCCAUGUCUCUAAUCUAAAGAAGUGUCUAUCGGAUGAAACACUCGUCAUUCCCCUUGACGAGAUUGAAAUUAACGAGAAUCUCCUGUUCGUUGAAGAACCGGUCGAAAUUAUGGACAGGGAGGUGAAGUGUACGAAGCAAAGUCGCAUCCCGAUCGUGAAAGUACGGUGGAACGCGAAGCGUGGGCCAGAAUUCACGUGGGAACGCGAAGAUCAAAUGAAGCAUAAGUACCCUCACCUAUUCUAGCGUUCUCAAAUCUAGCUUUCAAAAGAAUUUUGGGACGAAAUUCCCUCUAACGGGGGGAUGAUGUCACAAUCAGGAAUUUUUGUGCCUUGUAACUACAAUACUUAAGUCAAACUAUGAAUCCAAAAGCAUAAGAGCAUGUAUGAUGCUUAUUCUAUGACAUCAAAAUUUCAAUCAGAUACACCAUACAGGCAUUACAAAUGGUCAACAAGCAAUUGGAAACCCUAGAAGUUAUCGGUUAGGUCCAUUUUGGACUAGGACUUCCUUAUUGGGCCCAAUGGAAGAAUAAGCUUCCAAUUUGACCAUCUUGGGCUUAGAACUCAUAAAUGGGCUCUAAUUGGACCCACUCCCAUUUAUUUCAACAUUUUGGGCCAUAUUGGGCCUAGAAUGAAAUAAAUUAAUUAUAUGAACCAUUUUGGGCCAUAUUUAACCUAAUGUAGCCCUAAUAGGUCAUAAGAAUCAUAUUUAUGGUUAUUUGGACCAAACACCACUUAACAUAAUCAUGAAUAAGGCUUAAGCUUACAAGGCCCAAAUUCCUUUCUCUUCCUCUAAAAUUAUCGGCCCAAGCCCAUGUAAAAAGGGAGAGUUGACUUUCAUGGCCACCUCAUUUUUACAUCAUGGUUUUCCAUGCAUCUUAUCUCAUAUAUAAAUGCAUAUAUCACUUCAAGAUCUGUUUCUUUCUCUCUCUCUCUUCAUCUCGGCCGUGUUCAAGCACACACACACACAUUUCACUCACUCUCCUCUCAAGAAAACUCUCUCAUACCUCCUCCAUAUUUUCGAGAUUCAAGGACCUUGCAAGGAGAAUUCUUCACAAAAAUCAUCAUCUAGGUAAGUUGAUGCUUGAAUCCACACUCUAGACUUCUUGUUCUAUACAAAAAUCUCUUCUUAACUCAUAUGACAUCAUGAUCUUGCAUCUUAGAACCACCUCAAAUUCGAGAUCUUCAUCAAGGUGUUGCUAGGGCCGAAAAUCACCGUACUUUCUUCCUUUUCUUCUUAAAAUCAAAACCACAACUCAAGGUGAGCUUCAUACCCCCUAUUUUUCAGUUUUUAUAAGUUUUGUGGGGGGAGAAUACAAGCAAACGUGUAGAUCUAUGAGUAUAUGUAUGCUUGUGUGAUUUCUAUGCUUAUAUAUAUAUAUGUUCUUAUGUGAUUGUGGUGUUGGUUCUAGUCAAAAAGAGCUUAAAAACCGAGAUCUACAAUGUGUUGAAUGAAAUAAGUAUAACUCCUGUUAUUUCACAAAAAUCAAUUCUAGAAAAAUAACCACGUUGGUUAAUAUGAACACCUAUGGGCUUAAAACACAUUUUUGGGCUCAAAAUGCUAAAAAUAUAAAACUAAAGGGCCCAAAACGACAAAAUACAAAUUUUGAAGGUUGAGAUGAGUCAAAACACUUUCAAAAAUGUAUUUUCUGAAAAUUUACUCUUUUGAAGGAUUAAAAUGUG
This 9444-nucleotide long non-coding RNA is filed under the name Lactuca sativa (garden lettuce). RNAcentral describes it as "long non-coding RNA (LSAT_LNC006816)". Lineage: Eukaryota; Viridiplantae; Streptophyta; Magnoliopsida; Asterales; Asteraceae. The record is from RNAcentral.